GAGGCGGAGGAACGAGGCGGCUACGGCAGGUCAGUAUGCCCCGAAACCCUCGGGCCACACGCGGGCUGCAAUGGUAAGGACAAUGGGCUCCGAUUCCGAAAGGAGGAGGCAAUCCCUAAACCUUACCUCAUUUAUGAUUGAGGGCUGAAACUCCCCCUCAUGAAUAUGGAAUCCCUAGUAAUCGCGUGUCACCAUCGCGCGGUGAAUACUUCCCUGCUCCUUGCA
This 225-nucleotide ribosomal RNA is filed under the name uncultured archaeon. RNAcentral describes it as "partial 16S ribosomal RNA". It matches the Rfam family "Archaeal small subunit ribosomal RNA", at positions 1116 to 1341 of the family's 1478-position model. The record is from RNAcentral.